This 329-nucleotide unclassified non-coding RNA is filed under the name soil metagenome. Its description in RNAcentral is "partial contains 5.8S ribosomal RNA, internal transcribed spacer 2, and large subunit ribosomal RNA". The stretch from base 1 to 120 matches the Rfam family "5.8S ribosomal RNA", at positions 35 to 154 of the family's 154-position model. The record is from RNAcentral.
GAUGAAGAACGUAGCGAAAUGCGAUAAGUAAUGUGAAUUGCAGAAUUCAGUGAAUCAUCGAAUCUUUGAACGCACAUUGCGCCCCCUGGUAUUCCGGGGGGCAUGCCUGUCCGAGCGUCAUUACAACCCUCAAGCUCAGCUUGGUGUUGGGCCCCUCCGCCCCGGCGGGCCCUAAAGUCAGUGGCGGUGCCGUCCGGCUCCGAGCGUAGUAAUUCUUCUCGCUCUGGAGGUCCGGUCGUGUGCUCGCCAGCAACCCCCAAUUUUUUUCAGGUUGACCUCGGAUCAGGUAGGGAUACCCGCUGAACUUAAGCAUAUCAAUAAGCGGAGGA